This 821-nucleotide long non-coding RNA is filed under the name Neogobius melanostomus (round goby). Its description in RNAcentral is "lncRNA (ENSNMLG00000013748.1)". The record is from RNAcentral. Lineage: Eukaryota; Metazoa; Chordata; Actinopteri; Gobiiformes; Gobiidae.
CUCAUGCUGUAACCUGGUUAAGUAGGUUGGUUUUGGCAGAAUGCACUUGGGAAGCCUCUUCGUGAUGUCUGUACUUAAUCAGUUCAAUAGAAGUAGAAUAUAAUGUCUAUUUCAAGAUGAGUUUUACUAAGACAGCAUUAUGGGAACCACAUGUUAUAAUUGAUUUUCUUUAUGACAAAAGCCACACGGACAAGGUAAUUUCUUGCAGGGGUGACUAUACUGGAGAAACCAAGCCAAGGUGACACCUGCUGCUUCCCUGAUUGAUCGCGGGGAUAGAUCCUUGUUGUAGCUGUGUGCGUUCUGGAUAGGCACUGUGAUUGCUUAACAUAAACACGUAUCGUGAACCUCACAUUUCUGUCAGAGUUAUCGCGAUAAACUUUUGACCGACUCAAGACGUCAGACCUCGAUGGACAGAAACACCGCUGGAGGCAGUGGUGCCGCAGAUUUAAGGCUUGUUUGUUAAAACUCUGGUUGAUAACGCGAAGGACGGAGGUGGGUGGGCUGGGCAUGCCAUGUGAGACAGUCUGCACAGAGACUGUAUGCAGAACACAAGAGACACACGCUCGGGGAUUUGAUACAGGAUUCGACUAAACAGAGACGAGCGGAAAAACGUGACGACUUUUCUAAGUGAGCCUACAGACUGAGACCCACAGCGGAACCACUAUGUCCAAGGAGACAAGAGGCAAAGGCAUGCGGAAGCACAGCGGCACGCGUUGGUGUCUGCAGAAUAUUGCACAAGAAUCUGUGGACAGCUCUGAUGAGGAAUUUUCGACGCAAGAGGUGAGUCUAUGCAUGCCCAGAUAAAUGGAGAGGAUUGUGAG